Non-coding RNA from Mus caroli (Ryukyu mouse), 2253 nucleotides. NCBI's taxonomy places the organism in Eukaryota, Metazoa, Chordata, Mammalia, Rodentia, Muridae. The record is from RefSeq and is a predicted model, not a curated record.
AUAACGACCCUGACUAACCUGUUAAUGGAUGGUCCAAUUUGAUUUUCCCCUUCUUCACGAAGGCCAGAUCUGAAGCUGCCUGCCACACAACAAAGCUUUUCUAGGUUCCCAGGUUCCUGGAAUUCAAGACUAAAUGAGGCUUCUUGCAAAGGCUCUGCGUGAAAGAAGCAAAUUAGGAAUUUGAAGGGAUGAUGAUGCCGUUGUAGGAUACUCUCGUUUCCUGGUGUCCCUCUUGAGGUUGUCGAGAAACAGCAGCGGUACCCAACAGAGUUACCUGAAAAGAUGGAGAACUCGGUAUCUUGAUUGUCCAACACUGUAGCCACUGUAGAUUUGGCCAUGGACUGCUGAAUGUCUGGCCACUGUGACUGAAGAAGUGAAGUUUUAAUUGUAUUGAAGUUUUUAUGAAUUUAAAGACCCCAUAAUCGUUGUCAAGAAGAAAAAAUUCAAAAGGCAUUAAUUUACAUAACGGAGGAUGGCAGGAUCUUGCUCUAUGACAACUGUUUGUUUGUUUGUUUUAGUGAAGAGAAAAAGAUGUUACGCCAGUAUGUUUAGCAAGAAUGCUCAAGAAUGGAGUGAAGCACAACCAAGAAUUUAGUGUCUCCAUCAUAAAAGGUCUUUGGAAGACCCGUUCCAGUGCCAUGAAAGGAGUGUUUGGUUGGGAAUCUGGAGAAGUGGAGGCUCCUUUGCCGGCGGGCCGAUAACUGCCCACGUGAUUUCCUGCCUGCCUGCCUUUCUCUUCCCAGGAAAGCAGCACGUUUGGCUUCUACAACAUUAUGAUGCAAAUAAUCCUAUUUUAUAGCUUUUUGUUUAAGUGCACAGGCAGGCUUUGACAAGUGGCUGUGAAAGGGAGAGGUCCCUUGUGUUCUGGGGACUAUGCAGUUGUGCUCUCUCUGCCCCCUCCCCCAUCUACCUGGGUACCCUCCUUCGAGGCCCCUCCUCAUUGUUUUUUUUUUUUUUUUUUUUUUUUUUUCCCUGCGUGGGACGAGGCACAUGGAGAAAGCAGUUGUUGACUUUUGUCUCCUUGGCAUUUUUCUUGAACCAAUUAAAUGAAUGAUGUAGCAAGUGCAAUUGCCGGAGAGUUUAAACCCCGUAAUGGCCCCAGUGGGUUACACAUGGCUGAUCCUUGACCCUAUAAAAAAGGCCACCAUAAAAAUCCGCCAGGCAAUCCGGAAGCUGCUGAAAUUCAUUGCUCAAUGAGUCAUCUGCUCUUGUCAACUGGCAUGAGUUAAAGACAUGAGGAAACAGGUUAUUUUUGUGGUAACUAAAGUUCAGCAGAUGAACAAAAAGUUGCCGUUCAGUUCUCGAGAGGAACAAUUAUGCCGUUUCAAAGCCAACAACCCGUGCAUCCUCUGGGAAUGUCUAUCAUUCAAAUGUCUUUCCAGUCCUUCCAAGAACACAAGGAUGGGCAGCCUUUGCCGUUUCUGUGCAGCUAGAAAUAGAGGGUGUAGGAAGAGACUCCGAGGAAAGACUUGUUUCAAAUUUUCUUUCCUUUUUUUCUGGGUAUUCAUUUCUUCAUUUGUAAAACAAAGCAGUUUUUUUGUUUUUUGUUUUUUUAUGAUCCUUCAAGGUCAGAUCACUUCUGUUCUCUAUGUUUGUGACCUGUGAACCUAGAGGCCCCAAUGUAGUAAAAUCUCACUCAGUGUUUUGCUAAGGAUUGGGUGAAAGGGCAGCUGCUUGUAAUCUACUUUAAUCAACAAGUACAAUAAAAAUACAAUAGCACUAAGCCACCUAACAAUGAGAUGCUUGAAGCAGGCUUUUUGAUAUAUCUUUCUUUUCAUACGCAUAUAAGCUCUUCAAAACCAGCAAUUUGGUGGCCUUCUAUUAGAUCAUUGCUAAUAUUUUCAAUACCUUACAUAGGAAAAAGUAUUGAUUUAUUAUUAUUAUUUUUUGGAAAUAAACCUUACAUAAAAGCUUUCCAUAACCUCGUAAUACAAAGUCUACAGACAUAAAAGUAGUCUAACAAAAUUCCCUUUCUUUUCAAAAUGUCCCUGUUCUUCUAAGAAUAAAGUAUUUUCUGGGUGGAGGAAUGACCAUCUAUAAUUAAGGAACAUCAUCAUCACCACAAUCAACAGCAUCAUCAUCAACCUCCUCAUCAUCACCAACAGCAAAACAAAACAAAAAAAGUCGUCUGAACCUUUCUGAUUCUGGAAACCUCUUUACGUUUUCUUUAAAGGCAUUGGAAAUUCCGAGGCGUCACUAAAUCUAUCCUACAGUAGUGUGAGAGUUAUUUGCAACCUAGCUCCUGGCAAAUGG